This 607-nucleotide long non-coding RNA is filed under the name Polistes fuscatus (common paper wasp). RNAcentral describes it as "uncharacterized LOC122518588". The record is from RNAcentral. Lineage: Eukaryota; Metazoa; Arthropoda; Insecta; Hymenoptera; Vespidae.
UGUUUAAAAAAGAAGAGGAGAAUAUUGUGGAAAAUUGAAAUACGAAAAAAUUCGUUUCUAUUUCAACGUUAAUUGUUUAGAAUAUUUUGUAAAAUGAAACAAUAACGUUUGUUGUAUAUACGUUUAUAUAUAUGUGUUAGUGAAUUUUCUUACGAAAGAUUUGGUCUGAUGUUUUUUUGAAAAAAAAAGUGUACGCUCGUAUUAGUUUUCCUCAUCGUGUCUUCUUUAUCUCGUGUUCAUCUUGAUUAUUGGUAGUUCGUUUGUGUGCGAUAACCGUGGCUUGAAUGUGUCUAGGAUAGAUACUGAAACACGCAAACUUUCGUUCCGUUCUACGAGUUUAGAGUUUGAGAGAAGUAUUACGAUGGAUUAGAAAAAAGAUGAUUUUAUGAAUACUCGUUGUUAGUGUGAGAGUGGAUACUCGCGAACCGGAAAAAGGAAGGAAGAGAAGGUAACGUCUUUACGAGCGAAGCGUGCAUUCUUAAAGUUCGUAUGCCAAGGGGAAAACGGUUCCCGUAGAACGUGUACCGUUCUAAACCGCGGCGUGCAGCGAGUGCAUUUUGCACGCGCGACGCGACCAACUUAAUAUUAUAUUACAAUUAAAUAGAAA